AAUGACGUCGAAAAGUUCAUGUCCGCGUAAACUUGCUAUCUGAACCACUGUGGAAUGGAAUCGUCCUCUUGCUUCUUAAAAGUUGUAUACGAUUACGCCAUAAGGACAAGUACAUUGGGACAACAGCCACCGGUUGAAUCGGUUUUGUCUAGUUUAACAACAGUCGCCACUCUGGGGUGCAGCUUGGUCACCGCAAGAGGCGUCCCGAGUGUCCUGCCAAAUAUCCAUUGCUCGAAUCGACCUCUGAUUCGGGGACGGAAGUGAAUAGUUAUUAUCUGAUAUUUUGUACUAUCAAACUACAAGACUUGCAUGAAAAUUAUCGACGAGUAAAUGCUGUAAAUUAAAGUGAAUUUGUCUAAAUGUA
Long non-coding RNA from Aedes aegypti (yellow fever mosquito), 364 nucleotides. RefSeq lists it as uncharacterized. NCBI's taxonomy places the organism in Eukaryota, Metazoa, Arthropoda, Insecta, Diptera, Culicidae. The transcript has 2 exons. The record is from RefSeq and is a predicted model, not a curated record.